RNAcentral lists this transfer RNA (90 nucleotides) under Taibaiella sp. It matches the Rfam family "tRNA". From Rfam's summary of the family: Transfer RNA (tRNA) molecules are approximately 80 nucleotides in length. The record is from Rfam by way of RNAcentral. Lineage: Bacteria; Pseudomonadati; Bacteroidota; Chitinophagia; Chitinophagales; Chitinophagaceae.
GGUGAGGUGGGAGAGAGGCCGAAUCCACUAGUUUGCUAAACUGGCGUGCGUUGUUAAGAUGCACCGAGGGUUCGAAUCCCUCCUUCACCG